GUGCUCACUUCAGCAGCACACAUACUAAAAUUGGAACGAUACAGAGAAGAUUAGCAUGGCCCCUGCACAAGGAUGACACGUAAAUUCGUGAAGUUGACCUAUUGGAG
This 107-nucleotide small nuclear RNA is filed under the name Octodon degus (degu). Lineage: Eukaryota; Metazoa; Chordata; Mammalia; Rodentia; Octodontidae. The record is from RNAcentral.